Molecule: ribosomal RNA, 253 nt
Filed under: uncultured bacterium
Lineage: Bacteria
Description: partial 16S ribosomal RNA
Rfam family: Bacterial small subunit ribosomal RNA
Source: RNAcentral
UACAGAGGGGGCAAGCGUUAUUCGGAAUUAUUGGGCGUAAAGGGCGCGCAGGCGGCUACGCACGUCCGUUGUGAAAUCGCUCGGCUCAACUGGGCGGGGUCGGCGGAUACGGCGUAGCUGGAGCAAGCUAGGGGGCAAUGGAAUUCCCGGUGUAGUGGUGGAAUGCGUAGAUAUCGGGAGGAACACCAGUGGCGAAGGCGGUUGCCUGGAGCUUUGCUGACGCUGAGGCGCGAAAGCGUGGGGAGCGAGCCGG